RNAcentral lists this unclassified non-coding RNA (306 nucleotides) under uncultured Didymosphaeriaceae. Its description in RNAcentral is "sequence contains ITS1". The stretch from base 1 to 105 matches the Rfam family "5.8S ribosomal RNA", at positions 50 to 154 of the family's 154-position model. The record is from RNAcentral. Lineage: Eukaryota; Fungi; Ascomycota; Dothideomycetes; Pleosporales; Didymosphaeriaceae.
GAAAUGCGAUACUUGGUGUGAAUUGCAGAAUUCAGUGAAUCAUCGAAUCUUUGAACGCACAUUGCGCCCCUUGGUAUUCCAUGGGGCAUGCCUGUUCGAGCGUCAUCUACACCCUCAAGCUCUGCUUGGUGUUGGGCGUCUGUCCCGCCUCCGCGCGUUGGACUCGCCCCAAAUUCAUUGGCAGCGUUCCUUGCCCCCUCUCGCGCAGCACAUUGCGCUUCUCGAGGGCGGCUCCGGGAUGGCGACCCACGAAAGAUGACCACCGUCUUUGACCUCGGAUCAGGUAGGGAUACCCGCUGAGUUUAA